UUUCACCCAUACACCCAGAGUGAUAUAAAAUGAUUUGGAAAUUGAUUUUUAAAACUUUUGACUUGGUACUUCUCCCAGACAGGGGAACUGAUUUUAAAAUGAUUUUUAUUAUCAAAAAAGCUUAAAAAUGGGGGAAUCUGCAGUUGCUGAUUGGAGUUCAAGGAUUAUAUCAAUCAAUUCUGCUGCGGCGGCCAGGAUGAUACCCAACAAAAUGAUAGGGGUCGUGUUUAUCUGGAAGAAGCAGGAAAGAGAGCGAUCUUGUGCACUCGUCUUCAGAUGAACCUGAAGAGAAGAAGAUUUCGGUGCAGUGUGUAGACGACCCGGUGCCUUUAAAGCCCAUGGUGUAUUAUGAUGAUGAUGAGAUCUUCAGAAUGAUGCAUCAGUCACCAGUGGACGCUGGAGGAGACGACUGAAUUUGCAGUUCUGAAUAUAUUAAAAACUUAAAAUGUGAUCAUGUGUUCAUGUAGUCUUUAGACUGGUUGAAACAAACGAACAUACAAACCUACAAGGCCUCAUCAAUGGCAUCAUCAAUGAUAAAAAAAUGAUAUUGAAAUUCCCAACAUGUCUGUUAGGAGCGCCCUCUUGUGGCUGGUGGUGAUAUCGUUAAGUAUAUUUAAUUACUUGUACUUUUAUUACAUAAAUUAAAUCAAUCAUUGUAUAACAUGCUAAUAAAUAUGUCAUACAUUAAAGCACAUAGAGGGGACUUCAACAAGAGAAAGUAGAAGCAUUUAAACUUAAAAAAGGGGGAUUUAUUUUACAGAAUACUUUAUUAAUAACUCUUUUAAACAAGUUUACUAGAGAGAGCACGCAUGUAGGACGUUUUGGAGACAAGGUGAAGGGAGGAUUGAGAUAGUUUGGACAUGUGCAGAGAAGGGAAAUUUGGUAUAUUUCGGGCUAAGAGCAAAAGAGGAAGACCAAGAAGGAGGUUUAUGGAUGUGGUGAGGGAAGACAUGCAGGUAGUUGGUUUUAAAGAGGCAGAUGUAGAGAAAAGGGGGGUAUGGAGACGGAUGAUCCAUAAUGAGAGAAGCCAGAAGAAGAAGAAGAAGAAAAAGAAGAGGACUUUAUGAAUAACUUUGGGAAUUUUUCCUGGGCUAGCAGCAGUUGCUCAGAUAAUAAACUAAUUGUUUACUAAGGUAGUUAGCUUCAAGGUUACACAACAUACAUUUUUAGUGUGAUUGUUUGCUUUCAAUUGUUUGUUUACCAUUAUUGUACAUUUGAUUUGAUAAUCAGUACCUUUUCAACUUGAAAUAAACAACAACAACAACAACAUGGAUUUGCUGGUAGAGAAAAGCAGAACACUUUUGACAAAACAAUUGUGAACGUGUAGUUUUGGGCUGUAGUUUGUCUCUGCAGGUUCUUCUUCUCUACAGUGUUUACACUCAACACUUUAUACACUUUUGUUUCUUGCAUUUGGAGUAACGUGACUUUGUAGUUUGGUAAAUCAUGUCUUAUGUCUUUUUUCCUUAUGUCCUUAAAUUAUGUCAUAAGCUGAGUAAGAAUUUCACUGUAUGGUGUAGACUUAACAAUAAACCCUUGAAUCUUCAUUUUCAGAACAUGCAUAUACAGUUAUAAAGAGCCUGUUGGGCAUCUGUAAAAUAAAUUGUUUAAUAAUUAAAUAAUUGUAUAAUAAUAUCAUUGUAAUCUUAUAAUAUUUUGACUAAUUAUAAACUUUUAAAAUAAACUUGUUAUAAAUGUAUAGCAGUUGAAUUCGGGACACAAUCUGAUCAAAUUAAGUGCCAACCGCGCCCUCUUGUGGCCAUAUGUAAUUAAAAAAGUUUCAUAUAUUUUAUUUGCCACAAGAGAGCGCUGUUAUCACUUAAUUUAAUUAGGUUAAUUGCACAAACGUUAAAUUAAAAGUACUCAAUAAGAUUUUCAGGAUUUAAAAUGGUUCCCAGGAUAGAGAGUCUUGAAGCGACCAUUAGUAAAUCAUGUUAUUUUUUAAAAAUUAUGAUCACCAUUAUUGUAUUUAACUGGAAAGUGUGUAGGCAUUUGAAGAUAAUGGUGGCAGACCAGGGAAUAAUUGGGAAAAAAAGAGCAGUACACAGAGAGCAGAAGAAGGUAUAUAAAGCCUGUGUUGACUGUUUUUGGGUGUUUUGAUGGAAUUGCCUGGAUUUAUUUCUGCUAAAUAAAGGCUUCUUCUUUGACACCACAA
Long non-coding RNA from Silurus meridionalis, 2152 nucleotides. RefSeq lists it as uncharacterized. The record is from RefSeq and is a predicted model, not a curated record. Lineage: Eukaryota; Metazoa; Chordata; Actinopteri; Siluriformes; Siluridae. The transcript has 4 exons.